This 253-nucleotide ribosomal RNA is filed under the name uncultured bacterium. RNAcentral's name for it is "partial 16S ribosomal RNA". It matches the Rfam family "Bacterial small subunit ribosomal RNA", at positions 524 to 776 of the family's 1533-position model. The record is from RNAcentral.
UACGGAGGGUGCAAGCGUUAUCCGGAUUUACUGGGUUUAAAGGGUGCGUAGGUGGGUUGGUAAGUCAGUGGUGAAAUACUUUCGCUUAACGAAGGAACUGCCAUUGAUACUACCAGUCUUGAAUACAGUGGAGGUAGGCGGAAUGCGUCAUGUAGCGAUGAAAUGCUUAGAUAUGACGCAGAACACCAAUUGCGAAGGCAGCUUGCUACACUGUUAUUGACACUGAGGCACGAAAGCGUGGGGAUCAAACAGG